CCUACGGGGGGCAGCAGUGGGGAAUAUUGCGCAAUGGGGGCAACCCUGACGCAGCAACGCCGCGUGAUUGAAGAAGGCCUUCGGGUUGUAAAGAUCUUUAAUCGGGGACGCAUUUUGACGGUACCCGAAGAAUAAGCUCCGGCUAACUAAGUGCCAGCAGCCGCGGUAAUACGCAGGGGGCAAGCGUUAUCCGGAUUUACUGGGUGUAAAGGGCGUGUAGGGGGGCAGGCAAGCCAGAAGUGAAAUAUGGGGGCUAAACCCCCAAACUGCUUUUGGAACUGCCUUUGAAACUGGCAAACUGGAGUGUGUGAGAGGAUAGUGGAAUUCCAGGUGUAGGAGUGAAAUCCGUAGAUAUCUGGAGGAACAUCAGUGGCGAAGGCGACUAUCUGGCACAUAACUGACGCUGAGGAGCGAAAGCGUGGGUAGCAAACAGGAUUAGAUACCCCAGUAGUC
Molecule: ribosomal RNA, 453 nt
Filed under: uncultured bacterium
Lineage: Bacteria
Description: partial 16S ribosomal RNA
Rfam family: Bacterial small subunit ribosomal RNA
Source: RNAcentral